CCGUCAAGCACUUCCGCCUCCAGGAAGGCUGCGGCCCCGCCCCAGGGUCUGGCCAGAGGCCAGAGAGCAGAGUCUGUGUGGAAAGCUGCUGAUGGACUCUGGGUUCGAUGGCCUAACACGAGCUGGUGCCACACUCCGGGAGGUGACAAGGAGCUAAUUACAUGGAGGAAAGAGAGCCAGCAGAAGAGGUCAUUGCAAAGGGUGGAUUUCUUCCUGAUUAACUGCGCGGGGAGACACAACCGGAAGGAACAGUACGGGGCAGUGUUUGUGCCAUCGGAGAUAAGCACCACGUAUCUGGCGAGGCGGGGUCAAGUGUACGGUGGGGAAAGGAGGCCUCACAGGGUGGCAGGAGCAGAUGCAGCGCCCUGUCCACACACACCAGAAAGCUUGAAGGGAAAGGCGGGAAGAGCCAGGAGGCUGGCCACACAUCCCCAGGUGCCAUUGACUGCUUGGGUGAACUUGGGCAUGAAACCUAACUGCUGGGGCCACCAGUCAUCAGUGGACAUGGGGCUCACCUCACAGGAAGGCU
RNAcentral lists this long non-coding RNA (529 nucleotides) under Sus scrofa (pig). RNAcentral's name for it is "lncRNA (ENSSSCG00045004778.1)". The record is from RNAcentral. Lineage: Eukaryota; Metazoa; Chordata; Mammalia; Artiodactyla; Suidae.